AUGGCGCCGUGCAGUUCGGAUGGGGUUCUCACCCCAUCCCACGCCGCCCACCGCAGGGGAGAAGGACGAGGAACUCCACCACCGGCCCCUCUGCGCCCCCAAGCAGUUUGCAGCGUGUGCGUGUGCAGGAUGGUAGGCACGUUGAUGCAGUCCAUCCCUCGAUCCGACCGCAGAUGUCGGCCCCUCUGCACCUUGGUGCCCGGCGCGGGCACCACCGCAGCCCCAUCCCUGUGCCACCUCCCUCAGCCCCGGAUCCACCAGCACAUCCCCCGCCCACGGCGCGCCGCGGUCAACAGCGUUUCUCCGAGCCUCUUUCUCUCACAGCCUCCUUAA
This 333-nucleotide ribosomal RNA is filed under the name Triticum aestivum (bread wheat). RNAcentral describes it as "partial small subunit ribosomal RNA". The record is from RNAcentral. Lineage: Eukaryota; Viridiplantae; Streptophyta; Magnoliopsida; Poales; Poaceae.